GUCGAACGGUAACGUUUCUAGCUUGCUAGAAGAUGACAAGUGGCGGACGGGUGAGUAAUGCUUGGGAACUUGCCUUUGCGAGGGGGAUAACAGUUGGAGACUGCUAAUACCGCAUAAUGUCUACGGACCAAACGGGGCUUCGGCUCCGGCGCAAGAGAGGCCCAAGUGAGAUUAGCUAGUUGGUAAGGUAAAGGCUUACCAAGGCGACGAUCUCUAGCUGUUCUGAGAGGAAGAUCAGCCACACUGGGACUGAGACAC
RNAcentral lists this ribosomal RNA (258 nucleotides) under uncultured Alteromonas sp. RNAcentral describes it as "partial 16S ribosomal RNA". It matches the Rfam family "Bacterial small subunit ribosomal RNA", at positions 61 to 327 of the family's 1533-position model. Lineage: Bacteria; Pseudomonadati; Pseudomonadota; Gammaproteobacteria; Alteromonadales; Alteromonadaceae. The record is from RNAcentral.